This 301-nucleotide ribosomal RNA is filed under the name uncultured bacterium. Its description in RNAcentral is "partial 16S ribosomal RNA". It matches the Rfam family "Bacterial small subunit ribosomal RNA", at positions 509 to 807 of the family's 1533-position model. The record is from RNAcentral.
CAGUAGCCGCGGGAAUACGGAGGGCGCAAGCGUUAAUCGGAAUUACUGGGCGUAAAGCGCACGCAGGCGGUCUGACAAGUCAGAUGUGAAAUCCCCGGGCUUAACCUGGGAACUGCAUUUGAAACUGUCAGGCUGGAGUCUUGUAGAGGGGGGUGGAAUUCCAGGUGUAGCGGUGAAAUGCGUAGAGAUCUGGAGGAAUACCGGUGGCGAAGGCGGCCCCCUGGACAAAGACUGACGCUCAGGUGCGAAAGCGUGGGGAGCAAACAGGAUUAGAUACCCCUGUAGUCCCUGUCUCUUAUAC